RNAcentral lists this ribosomal RNA (406 nucleotides) under Physarum viride. RNAcentral's name for it is "SSU rRNA". It matches the Rfam family "Eukaryotic small subunit ribosomal RNA", at positions 76 to 405 of the family's 1831-position model. Lineage: Eukaryota; Evosea; Eumycetozoa; Physariida; Physaraceae. The record is from RNAcentral.
ACUUUCUGAAUCUGCGAACGGCUCCGCAUACCAGUUGUAUACAAUAGCGAGUCAGGAUUUCGAAUACGCCCUAGUGGUGGCUUCGAUUUCCUGUAUAUGGAUAACCCUGGUAAUUCUGAGGCUAAUACGCGGACUUACUACCAUCGAACGGGGCAACCUGAACGGUGGGAUCGUGUGGGCAUUUAUGCACACCCGAUAGGGAUGAUUCCAUGCACGAUCAGACCGCCAACCCCUAGGGGAAACUCGCCAGUCUCGGUUAGUACUUCACGGGAAACCCUUGGCUGGUGGGGGCGGCUCUCGCUUGUGCACCUGACCUAUCAACUACACAGCAGCCUAUAGGACAUGCUAUGGUUACAACGGGUACAGAGGAUAAGGGUUCGAUCCUGGAGAGUGGGCCUGAGAGAUU